Pangasianodon gigas (Mekong giant catfish) is the source of this 73-nucleotide non-coding RNA. The record is from the annotation of a GenBank genome assembly. NCBI's taxonomy places the organism in Eukaryota, Metazoa, Chordata, Actinopteri, Siluriformes, Pangasiidae.
GGCACAGUAGCUUAGUGGUUAGCGCUGUUGCCUCACACCUCCAGGGUUGGGGGUUCGAAUCCUUCCUCCGCCC